CAGUCGCCGCGGUAAUACGAAGGGGGCUAGCGUUGUUCGGAUUUACUGGGCGUAAAGCGCACGUAGGCGGAUCGAUCAGUCAGGGGUGAAAUCCUGGAGCUCAACUCCAGAACUGCCUUUGAUACUGUCGAUCUCGAGUCCGGAAGAGGUGAGUAGAACUCCUAGUGUAGAGGUGGAAUUCGUAGAUAUUAGGAAGAACACCAGUGGCGAAGGCGGCUCACUGGUCCGGUACUGACGCUGAGGUGCGAAAGCGUGGGGAGCAAACAGGAUUAGAUACCCCAGUAGUCCCUGUCUCUUAUAC
This 301-nucleotide ribosomal RNA is filed under the name uncultured bacterium. Its description in RNAcentral is "partial 16S ribosomal RNA". It matches the Rfam family "Bacterial small subunit ribosomal RNA", at positions 509 to 807 of the family's 1533-position model. The record is from RNAcentral.